Molecule: long non-coding RNA, 538 nt
Filed under: Salmo salar (Atlantic salmon)
Lineage: Eukaryota; Metazoa; Chordata; Actinopteri; Salmoniformes; Salmonidae
Description: lncRNA (ENSSSAG00000092512.1)
Source: RNAcentral
GGUAGAACAGGAUGAGACAGGGAGGAACGGAGAGAGUAGAACAGGAUAGGACAGGGAGGAACAGAGAGAGAGUAGAACAGGAUGAGACAGGGAGGAACGGAGAGAGUAGAACAGGAUAGGACAGGGAGGAACAGAGAGAGAGUAGAACAGGAUGAGACAGGGAGGAACAGAGAGAGAGUAGAACAGGAUGAGACAGGGAGGAACAGAGAGAGAGUAGAACAGGAUGAGACAGGGAGGAACAGAGAGAGAGUAGAACAGGAUGAGACAGGGAGGAACAGAGAGAGUAGAACAGGAUGAGACAGGGAGGAACAGAGAGAGUAGAACAGGAUGAGACAGGGAGGAACAGAGAGAGAGUAGAACAGGAUGAGACAGGGAGGAACAGAGAGAGAGUAGAACAGGAUGAGACAGGGAGGAACAGAGAGAGUAGAACAGGAUUAGACAGGGAGGAACAGAGAGAGUAGAACAGGAUGGACAGGGAGGAACAGAGAGAGUAGAACAGGAUGAGACAGGGAGGAACAGAGAGAGUAGAACAGGAUGA